RNAcentral lists this ribosomal RNA (214 nucleotides) under Enterobacter cloacae. RNAcentral describes it as "partial 23S ribosomal RNA". It matches the Rfam family "Bacterial large subunit ribosomal RNA", at positions 1133 to 1345 of the family's 2925-position model. Lineage: Bacteria; Pseudomonadati; Pseudomonadota; Gammaproteobacteria; Enterobacterales; Enterobacteriaceae. The record is from RNAcentral.
CGUAAUAGCUCACUGGUCGAGUCGGCCUGCGCGGAAGAUGUAACGGGGCUAAACCAUGCACCGAAGCUGCGGCAGCGACACUUAUGUGUUGUUGGGUAGGGGAGCGUUCUGUAAGCCGUUGAAGGUGUGCUGUGAGGCAUGCUGGAGGUAUCAGAAGUGCGAAUGCUGACAUAAGUAACGAUAAAGCGGGUGAAAAGCCCGCUCGCCGGAAGAC